UGAGGAAUAUUGGACAAUGGAUGGAAAUCUGAUCCAGCCAUGCCGCGUGCAGGAAGACGGCCCUAUGGGUUGUAAACUGCUUUUGUAUGGGAGCAAUAAGGGCUACGUGUAGUCCGAUGAGAGUACCAUACGAAUAAGCACCGGCUAACUCCGUGCCAGCAGCCGCGGUAAUACGGAGGGUGCAAGCGUUAUCCGGAUUUAUUGGGUUUAAAGGGUGCGUAGGCGGUUUGAUAAGUCAGCGGUGAAAUAUUUCAGCUUAACUGGAAGGGUGCCGUUGAUACUGUCGAGCUUGAAUUUAGUUGCUGUGGGUGGAAUGUGUGGUGUAGCGGUGAAAUGCAUAGAUAUCACACAGAAUAUCGAUUGCGAAGGCAGCUCACAAAGCUAAUAUUGACGCUGAUGCACGAAAGUGUGGGGAUCAAACA
This 422-nucleotide ribosomal RNA is filed under the name uncultured prokaryote. Its description in RNAcentral is "bacterial SSU rRNA". It matches the Rfam family "Bacterial small subunit ribosomal RNA", at positions 355 to 774 of the family's 1533-position model. The record is from RNAcentral.